AUUAGAAAGGAUUGUUUCUAAGCAGGGAAGAACAUCUCAGUGAGAACUUUCCUAUUCAAUUUUGCCUUCAUAGAGAGCAUGUUCAAGUGGAGAGGACUAUUAAUAGUAAAAACUCUACAUUCUAUAGGCUGAGGUCAAUGGCAUGACUUCGAUGGAUGUUAGCGCCUAAGUCUGUCACAGAAAUAUUCAGCGUUUGCUCAGAGACUUGUCAGCAGAAAGGUGGCAGGCCUUGUGAGAAAAACGGACAUUUUUUUUUUUUGGGGGUGUGUUAUCAAUCAGAAAUCAAUAGCCCUUCAAGAGCGAUAGGGAAUUAUGAUUAAUAAGACCUAGAAGUACCUUCCAAACAAUGAAAACCAAACCAGAACAAAAUGAGAAAAAACAAACAAACAAAACCCAAACUACUAACUCAUGGUUUAAUUAUUUAAUUUAAAAUGUAAGUGUGCCUUAUGGACCCUAAUUAUACUCAUAUAUGAUUAAUAUAAGUAAUGAGAACACUUCUGUCCUCAAUGAUGCCUGAUAAGCAAUGAUUAACAGUGUCUUCUAUGAUCCUGAACUAAUUUGAGAUGAACUAGUGCAGACUUUUUACUGCAUCUUCUCAGCCUCUCCAGACCAACCAUAUCAUCCCUACCAUCACUGAUGAAAUGGGGAACAAUGACACUGAAAGUGGAUUUUUCCUCUUGAAGGAUGCAGCAUUGCAAAGCUCGAAGUCACUGGGGUGGUCUCCCAGCACUUGCCCAGCGGUGGUGGGGUAGGUGGCAGCACAGGGACAGCACCUGCUCUCUGCUUGGUGACUUACAUAGUUGAUCCGGAAGUGUCUACAGGCCCAGUCGUCCUGCUCUUCCUCUGAAAUCAUCUCCACAGUGAUGUCUCCGUAGGCUAUAGGUUCUUCCGUGAAUGGCCAGUAAUGGUCACAUUUCACCUGGAGCGAGGACAAAACAAUUGUUUAAAACAAACAGGCUAGGAAAGCAAUUAAGCCUGUGCUCACUUAGGGAAAACAAAGGUAUUUGCCUGUGACGAAUUAGAUAGGACCGUGGUGAAGAUGAAACGUAAAGCAAAUACAAUCGUUUUUGCUACAUAGUGUGAAUUCUUAUCACAUGACUUGGGUCAUUCUUAUCAUACCUAACUGAAACAGAGUUGAGGGGUCAGGGGAUAAAGCACUCAGAACACCCCAGCUACUUGGGAGGCUGAGGCAGGAGAAUCGCUUGAACCCGGGAGGCAGAGGUUGCAGUGAGCCGAGAUCGCGCCACUGCAUUGCAGCCUGCGCGACAGAGAGAGGCUCCGUCUCAAAAAAAAAAAAAAAAAAAGCACUCAAAACGCGUAACAUUGUUCCACGAAUAUAAUUCUCUGUAAACCCUGAUUGCCGAAACUGCCGUUAGUAACUUAAAACCAGUGUUAUCUAAUAGCAACUGAAACAACCUGCUGCGACUCUGAGACUAGUUUUACCCACCACCAUCCAUUCACCAAUCUGAGCUUGCCAGCUCCCCGAAACUUUACUAGUGCUAAUGAACUUUCCUGCAAAACAAUAUGCAGUAUUUCUCCUUUUUAGAAGACUUCCAACCUUCUCUUUUUUCCUUUGAACAUUGCAAAGACCACCAGGUCUGUGUGUUUGCCCCCAAAUCGUAAUUCUUGCUUCCCGAAUACAAUGUUUUAAAUUUAGCGCUUUGUCUCUAUGUUUUAUUUGACUUUGAAAACAGCAAGCAUUUCAUCAGUGGCAGACGCUGGGGCAGGUUUUGCUGCUAAGUGGGAACUGCUUCAGUAAGUGCCUGCCAUGUCUGCCAUGAAAAGGACAUGACCAGGGAAGCUGCUAGUCCCAGAAUGAGGAGACACAGAGGGCAGACCUGACUCUGACCCAUAGCCUGAAGCAGAACUGCCCCAGCUGUUCCACAGACCCGCUCAUAAAAUGGAAGCAGUAUUCUUAGGAGAGUUCGCCAGACUGCCAAAAAGGAUCAUGGCAUGAAAAAUGAUGGCAAUCUCUAUUUUAAUAACUAGCUGAAAGAAUCAGAACCACCCCUCCUAAAUAUCUUUGGCUGGAACAUGGAGGUAAUGAUGAUAAAGGUUUAUCUCUAGAGACAAGGACUGUGCAUAGUGGCAGAUGGAACAACAAAAGAGAAUUUGCCUCCCUGGACGACCUCUUAAAGCAGAAGUGCCUGGUUAGUCCUGUGCUUUAAUGGGAGAGAUGUGAGAAUUGAGACCAUCUCUGUCAAUAUGCUCAGACAAUACCUGUAGACUACUGGUUCAGCAUCAUUUAUUUAUUUGACCCAGGAAAAGAUAGAAAAUCGUCAACAUCAAUACAUUGGAGACAACAGACUGCUUACCAGGACCAGCCUGGACUGGACAGAGAAAUGGAGUUGUUGGACAAGCUUUCUCUAAGAGUGACAGACUCAGAACAACUAUAGCGAAAUAUCAAAGGACUGCCCUGGGGCCAAUUGCUUUGUCAUUACUUAUUUCAUCAAGACAAGCAUCUAACACACAAUAAAUGACUGCUACAAAGGUACUCUUUUAUUCUCAAGAGAAAUAUGUCAACUCUGUGAGCAGAUACUACAAAUGUUUUCCAAACUUGUUUAAAAAGCUUUCAGUUAGAAAAAUAAAGAUGGCAAAAACACAUUAUUAACUGACAGAUAACGUUAGUUUCAGAGCUCAAAAGUUAUCUUAGUCAUCAUGUACUUUAAUUCCCUCUUUUAUGAAGGUGGAAGCUGAAACCCAAAUGUCACUAAAUGCCAGCUCAUGCCUAAUGUCACAGAAAUAUUUGUGCACUAAUCCCCACUUCUUAUAUUCCCAACUUAUUAUUGCUCCUUAAAUUUGGGAUAAUGUAAUUAAGCCUUUAACAAUGGGGUAGAAGACAAUAUUUGAUAGGCCAUCAUGAAUUAAUUUUACUCUUUGGAGAUCAAUACAUGUUUCCUCUUCCCCUUAACAUGUAGAAAGCCCCAGGAUAACAUCACUUCUUCUCCACCUCAACAAGCAAAAGCCAUGUAAUCCACGAAAUCAUAACUAUCCUUGAGGUUACAGGAGAGGUGAAAUAGCAAGUCAAUCAAGUAAUAUGAAUUCCAAGGCGUGAACAACCCCUCUGGAGAGAGGCGACACACUAUUUCACCUUUUGGCAAAGCACAGCAGGAAGAGGAUACAACAUUGAAGCAGGGUCUGCCUAAGCCUGAGGCUGGACCAUGAGAACCAAGAACAUCUUCUGUCCCCGCCAAAAAGUUAGCGAUGAGAGAAAAACAAGAGCAGUCUAUUGCUGGAGGAGCUCUUCUGUGGUGCCAGUGUUCAGGGCUUGCUGCAUACUGAGGGUGGAACUGAAACACUGAGAAAUACCCUCUACCACUCCUGGCAGCCUACCAUGGGAAGAACUGGAAAUCUGUGAUGAACGGAAGGUGUCUAAUACCUCAAACCCAGCUCAACUAUUGACUAGAUCGACUCACUGCUCAUUCUACAUAACAGCCUAGCAAUAUGGUAAAUUCAAAUUCAACCAUAGAAAUAAUUGUAUUAUAUUAUAAUAAUAAAUAUUAAUAAUUACAUGUAUAUUGUCUAAACCUACACAUUUAAAUUGGUAGUAACUAGCUACAUAUGGCUAUUUAGCAAUUAAAAUUAGGCUAGUGCAGCUUUAUUUUUAUUUUAAUUUAAUUUCUGUUUGAAAGUUAAAAAAUGGGUAAAUUUGUAUAUUGAUUAUAUGUUGAAAUAAUAUUUUGAAUGUAAUGGAUUAAGUAAACCAUGUUAUUAAAAUUGAUUUCACCUUUUUAGAAAGCAUUUUAAUAUGUCUACCAGAAAAUCUACUAUUACAUAUGAGGUUAACAUUCUGUUUUUAUUGGAUAGUGCUGUCCUAAGUACUCCAGUUAAAAGACAGAGAUUUUUAGAUUGGAAAAAAUAAAAAAAACAAGACUCAACUCUGUGCUGUCUACAGGAAACCGUUUUACAUGUAAAGACAGAAGUAGGCUGAAAGCAAAAGGAUGGAUUAAGUAUGCCACACAAACACUUAAAAAAGAAAACUAAAAUGACUAUUUUAAUAUCAGACAAAGGAAAAAUUAACACAAGGCAUAUUGUUUGGAAUAUAGAGGGACAUUACGUAUAGUCAAAAGGGUCAGUUUAUCAAGAAGACACAGCAAUCUUAAAAGCUUUUGCACCUAAUAACAACAGAACUUCAAAAUACGUAAAGCAUAAACCAAAAUAAGUGAAAGGAGAAAUAGACAAAUUUACAGUUACAGGUGGAGACUUUCAGAUUCCUCUAUCAGUCAUUAUUAGAAAAAACAAACAGAAAAUCAGUAAGGAUAUAGAAGACUUGAACAAACAACGUGACCUGGCUGGUACUUAUUGAAACUUCACCCAGAAAGUGCUCACAGAAUACACAGCAAGAAAGACCAUAUUUGGGCCCAUAAAACAAAUCUCAACAAUUUUCAAGUAAAUGAAUCAUAUAAAAUAUGUUCUCUGAUCACAACAGCACUUCCUCUAGAAAUCAAUAAAAGAAAAUGUCUGCAAAAUUUCCAAAUGUUUGGAUAUUCAACACACUUGUAAGCCCUACAGGUCAAAGAAAAACAUCACAAAGGAAAAUAGAAUAUAUUUUGAAUGGAACUCAUCAUAAAUGCUAAGUGAUAUUCGAGAAAUCUUUUAGCAUCUACUUACCUAUCAAAUUUCUUCACGAAGGCUUAGCUAAAGGGCUGAAUCAUUCAGCUGCAACUGAUGAGGAAUGGCUGAGUGCAUGCUCAUAAAUGUUGGAUUAGCAACCGUCAUUACAGUCCUAAAUUUAUUUUUCUUUGUGCCUCAUUUUUUUUUUCUGUGGAUCUCUAUUACUUGCUCAACUAAAUUGAACUAAUAUUUAUGGAUCAUCUAUUAAGCAAGCAUAAGGCUUGGGCUAGGUGUUUAUGAAAUUAUGGAGAUAAGUAAGACAGUUUUUGAUUUCAAGGAGUUCGUAUUAUAGGCAUUAUGUGUCUAUAUCUGCUGCCUAAAUCUGACUUGCAAUUCGUCUUUUUCUAGAGCUUGUUUAAGACAGUAUUUUACCAGGUAAGUGCUCCCUUUAAUUCAGCUAAUAGAUUUGUUCAUUAUGUCUAUAAACUUUGAAGGUCUUGGGUCUACACCAUUCCUAAUUUUUAGGACUCACUACUGAUCCUGGGACUCUGUCAAUGGAGACAUUAAAUUUUUGACAGAAGUAUUAAAAAUAUAUCCUCUAGCUUGGUUCUGAGUUUUUGCUUCUUGUAGUUUCUGUUUCCUUUUAUCCCAACAGACAAUAUCACUGUCUUUUCCCUUAAUUAUCACAAGAACAAUCAUGCGUAGAUGGCAUUUAACAAAUUGCAGUUGUUGCAAAACUUGCACUGAAGAACAUAAGCAAAAGGGACUUUGCUGAGCCAUUAUAUUGUGCUAGUGAUAAACUCGGCUGUCUUACAGAUAUCAGUUUUUCUUCCACAUGUCAACAUAGACAGUAGAGUCACGUCUUAAUUUGACAUUAGAUAUUAAAGUCAGUGAGUAAAGUGAAAAAAAAUCACAUGGAGUUAAAACCAUUCCUAAAAAUUUCCCAAUGUCAGCCUUAACUCUAUAUGACAUGGACUCAUGAAGGUUAAAAUGCCAGUGAUUUUUUUCUUGGCAUUUUUUCUUAAGAAGUAGAAGGCAAAGCUAUUUUGAAGACGAGGUAGGGAAUAACUGAUAAAUAUAUCUUUUUCUCUCUUUCAGCCAGUGACCUAUACGUGAAUUUGAGCAGGCUAAAUAGGAGUAUCAGUUCAUUGUCCCCACACUGAAUUGCUAAAUAUGAGAGUACGU
Chlorocebus sabaeus (green monkey) is the source of this 5739-nucleotide non-coding RNA. The record is from RefSeq and is a predicted model, not a curated record. NCBI's taxonomy places the organism in Eukaryota, Metazoa, Chordata, Mammalia, Primates, Cercopithecidae.